Molecule: ribosomal RNA, 429 nt
Filed under: uncultured bacterium
Lineage: Bacteria
Description: bacterial SSU rRNA
Rfam family: Bacterial small subunit ribosomal RNA
Source: RNAcentral
UGGGGAAUAUUGGACAAUGGGCGAAAGCCUGAUCCAGCAAUGCCGCGUGUGUGAAGAAGGCCUGCGGGUUGUAAAGCACUUUCAGUAGAGAAGAAAAGCUAAAUGUUAAUACCAUUUAGUAUUGACUUAACCUACAGAAGAAGCACCGGCUAACUCCGUGCCAGCAGCCGCGGUAAUACGGAGGGUGCGAGCGUUAAUCGGAAUUACUGGGCGUAAAGAGUACGUAGGAGGCAAUACAAGUUGGGUGUGAAAGCCCCGGGCUUAACCUGGGAAUUGCACUCAAAACUGUAUAGCUAGAGUCUUGCAGAGGAAAGCGGAAUUCCGGGUGUAGCGGUGAAAUGCGUAGAGAUCCGGAAGAACAUCAGUGGCGAAGGCGGCUUUCUGGGCAGAGACUGACUCUGAGGUACGAAAGCGUGGGGAGCAAACAGG